UUUAUUGGAGAGUUUGAUCCUGGCUCAGGAUGAACGCUGGCGGCGUGCCUAAUACAUGCAAGUCGAGCGAAUGGAUUAAGAGCUUGCUCUUAUGAAGUUAGCGGCGGACGGGUGAGUAACACGUGGGUAACCUGCCCAUAAGACUGGGAUAACUCCGGGAAACCGGGGCUAAUACCGGAUAACAUUUUGAACCGCAUGGUUCGAAAUUGAAAGGCGGCUUCGGCUGUCACUUAUGGAUGGACCCGCGUCGCAUUAGCUAGUUGGUGAGGUAACGGCUCACCAAGGCAACGAUGCGUAGCCGACCUGAGAGGGUGAUCGGCCACACUGGGACUGAGACACGGCCCAGACUCCUACGGGAGGCAGCAGUAGGGAAUCUUCCGCAAUGGACGAAAGUCUGACGGAGCAACGCCGCGUGAGUGAUGAAGGCUUUCGGGUCGUAAAACUCUGUUGUUAGGGAAGAACAAGUGCUAGUUGAAUAAGCUGGCACCUUGACGGUACCUAACCAGAAAGCCACGGCUAACUACGUGCCA
RNAcentral lists this ribosomal RNA (530 nucleotides) under Bacillus cereus. RNAcentral describes it as "bacterial SSU rRNA". It matches the Rfam family "Bacterial small subunit ribosomal RNA", at positions 1 to 510 of the family's 1533-position model. The record is from RNAcentral. Lineage: Bacteria; Bacillati; Bacillota; Bacilli; Caryophanales; Bacillaceae.